This is a long non-coding RNA of Podarcis raffonei (Aeolian wall lizard), 5412 nucleotides long. RefSeq lists it as uncharacterized. The transcript has 2 exons. NCBI's taxonomy places the organism in Eukaryota, Metazoa, Chordata, Lepidosauria, Squamata, Lacertidae. The record is from RefSeq and is a predicted model, not a curated record.
UAGCGCUUAGGGCAGUCAUCCCAAGGCUGGAGUGCUCCAGACGUUCUGGGCUACAGAUCCAUGGCCAUGCUGGCUGCGGGCUGGGAGUUGUAGUCUGCUGCACCUGGACGUCUCCAGCUUGGGGGAAGACUGGGUUCAAGUGUGUAUAUAUAAAAUGUUUGUUUUUAGACUAGCUGUUCUCUUCCAAAAGGGUGAAAGCCACUAUGUUUUUUAAAUCUGCAAAUUCCCUGUGAUGGACUUCUCAAGAAUUUGGAAAUAUCCACUGAUUUGGGGGUGGGGUGGAGGCGUGGAUUGCACUGAGGCACAAACUGUGUUUCUCCAGUAGCAUUUGACCAGCACAGUCUGCCCUUCAAGUGUUGGCAAAUUUCUUGUCUGCUUAAUGAAGGUGGAGGGAUCACCCCCUGCAAUUGAUAACCUCUGUUUCAAGUGGCUUAGAGCCCCUAGGAUGACAAAGUCAGAAGGAGACAGGGUUGGCUCGGGAUCCUUGUUGGGUGGUUCUUGUUUUUUCAGCAAGGUCUUGAAUAGUUUCUCACUUCUCACCUCGUAUAUAUCUGGUGAGCUUCCAAGACCAGGUUUAAGUGCCAGGGGUCCCCUUCUCCCCACCUCCUUCCUACCCCACCCCACUGACAAGGCACUCUUGGCCUUAAGCAUGUCAGCUCAGAAUUGCUUGCAGGUAUUAUCAGACAAAACUACCAUUACUGAGUUUUGGGGCACAGGCAGGAAACAAUUGGGCAGAUCCACACCGUAGAUUUCAAGCAAAUCUGGCGCACACUUGAAGCACAUGACUUCCCCCAAAUAGACUGUGGUUUGUGAAGGGUGCUGAGCACUGUAGCUCUGCGAGGGGGAAGCUACAGUUCCCAGGAUUCAUUGGGGUGUGGAGUCGUGUGUUGGCUUCGCUUUAAAUCUGCGAGCCUGCCGUUAAAGAAGGUCCCCCCACCAGCACUUUGAAAGCAGCUGAUCUUUACAGCCUCGAGACCUCUCCCUAGAAUGAAUCAGCUGUCAAAUUUGGCAGUGUGGAAUAAAAAUAGACAUGCGGAAUGGCAGAGGGCUCUCAAAGUGUGAAAUUGUGGGGGGUUUCUUUUUGCUUCUUCUAAAGGGCAUUACCACUGUUUGCAACUCCAUUAAGUUUGCAGAGAGAGUGAGAGCCUUCAAAGGGUAUAACCGGCUUAUAUCGAUUAAAUGGCCGUUUCUCAAACGCACCCUCUUUGUGGUACGCUGACAAUUUGAGGCGGGUCGUAUCGCUUUGCGGCUUCGAGAGUGCAAUGGUGCAGAGAACGCAGUGGAGCAAAAUGGGCUUUUCUUUCUUUCCCCAUUCCCUUUCUUCAGUACCUCCAGACUGCAAACCACCUCGCUGAAAGCGAAGGCGGGCGGGGAGCUGUUUAAUUAGGCUUAAACGAAGCAAGCAGCCUGAUUAUACCAUUAAACCAGGUAUAGGCAAACUCAGCCCUCCAGAUGUUUUGGGACUACAACUCCCAUCAUCCCUAGCUUACAGGACCAGUGGCCAGGGAUGAUGGGAAUUGUAGUCCCAAACAUCUGGAGGGCCGGAGUUUGCCUGUGCCUGCAUUAAACAAUUAAUGCUCGUGCCUCUCUCUUUUUUUAGAGACUUGCCUGCUGUGAGCUUUUGAUCUCUCCCUUCACUUGGAUUGGCAACCUGAUGCUGCUCCCUUGGUUGGAGGUUGGUGGGGACUGGCCUAGUGAUGCCCCAUCUCCCAGUGUGCUGUGCUUCAUGAUCCACCACUGUUGAAGUUAUUCCCCCAUUCCACCAUUGGCAGCGCUUAGGACUGCAGGGUGGGGGACCUCCGGCCCACAGGCUGAAUCAGGGGUCCCAGUUUCCCCUUCCCCAGAAACCCCACCUUCCCCACACCUGGUGCAUCAUGUGGAUGUCAGGUGUGGGGCAACCAAAGGCACAGUUGGGAGCUGGUUCCUGCUUACGCCUGCAGUGAGCUUUUGAUCUCUCCCAGCUUGUGGCCAGCUUGUUUAUACAUAUCGCAUUCUGGUGAGUUUCCUCUCUAGCUGAGGACCAGAUCCACCGAAAGCACAGCCUGACAACUGGAGGCGCAGCUUAGGUCUCCUUUAACAGCUGCAAAGAAUUUCCAGCACAUUCCAGCUUUUUCCCAUCCUGAUGCUUCAGCGAGGAGGGAAGGAGCCUGGCCACCAAAUUUCUCCCGGCUUUAGAAAUCUGAAAAGCGCCGUAGGGCAGAGAGCAGGAGCUGCAGGAAGGAAACAGCUCGUCCGAUGGUUAUAUAUUCCCUUUGGUGUUUCGCUUCCAUGGAACAAUGAGCUGCCUCGUUUUGGGUGGAUGCACCCUUUCAAUCCAGUCUUGCGUGGUUGGCCAAACCGUAGUCAGGACUCCAGUGGGUUCAGUAAAUAGCGGCUCAUAAGGAAAUUAUCUUUUGGUGCCUUUAACCACACCCAAAAAUGUAAGUGUUCGGGAGUCAUAAGUGCUAAUGGGAUCAAACUUGGGGGCAUUGUCAAAAGACACUAAACUUGGCUCUCGCAUCAGUGGUGCAGUGGGAGAUUUAAUAUCUUGAGCACCAAUGACAAUGUGGCAAAAAGAGUGAUCCACUUUAUCUUUCAUCCUGCAUCUUUCCAAAGAGAAAAGUGCACACUCUCCGCAUAGUGCUUCCCUGGGAGAAGUGGUGUCCUCUGAACUUCCCCCCUGGCAUUCAGCUACUAAGACCCCACUGCAGGUCUUCUAUGGCUCAGGCGCAUCAGCAAGCCUGACAUGCCUAAAUUUGAACCAUGGGAAUGAUCUCACGCAUGUUGCUGAAUCAGACCGAUCUGCACAUAACGGAGGAGUUGGGGGUUUUUUAUUAGCAGUUCCAGUGAGACUAAGCAAUGAAACCUCAUCCCACAAGUUGUUGGAGAGCCUCAACCACAAUCCUGAGUAUUCAAGCACUGGGGGCAAAAGUGCCCCUCAUCCAAGAAGGAUGUCAAUUUUUUAUGUGCUAAUUUUUCUCUCCAGAUUUCUCUUUAGCCUGUAUUCAGACAGGCCGAGGAUUGAGAGAGAGAAAGAUCAGUAAGCGGGAAGCAAAGGCAGCUCUUCAGGUCUAAUUACGGCAGAGCUUAUUGAACUGUGCCUGUGUUUAAGGCUCACGACGGAUCUGGGAAGGGAAAAUAAUCUCCUGGCUUCUGUUAGUCACAGUGCCUUGUAUAGUCCACCAAAGGAACAUUCGCGGAAAGGGGGAGAAAAUAACAAUACACAAACGAAACACCUUUCUUUGUGUUUUUGCGACGUGAGCAAUGUUUGUUUUUCACUGAUGAAGGCUGGUUGUGUUGAAGAUGGAGGAGCCUGGAGUGGGCUUCUUCUGCUACAGCGUAUCCAACUCAUUCGGAAGACUGGCGUUGUGUUCAUCCAUCCCCUGCGCUGUGAUCCUGUUAGCCAAGGGCCCCGGUGUCCUUGGAAACUGUAUCCAAGGUUACGGUGUUUUUCCGAGGCUUCAUUGUAUAAGGUUCUGCUUCUCUCUGCCUCGCAGCCGUGCUUUGAGUGCGGGUUGGCAACUACGAGGAAGGUUUUCAUAAGCUGGUCUUUCCAUCUUUCCAGCCUUUUGACUUCAUUUCUCUUUUAAAAAAACCAAAACAAAACCCACACAUUUUCUUUCUUGGGUGAAGCAAAAUGCUAACGGUUGUGCGUCCUUUUGUUCAUUUCUAAAUAUACAGAUGUGGGGGGGGGCUUUUGUUUUUUGUAGGGUGGGGUCUCUGCUUGUGAACUGUGUUCUGUCUUUUUGCAUGCAUCUUAGCCGCAGGUUUUCCUUUUCCUUAAACCUGUUUCAAAUUGUAUCACAGCCCUUGUGUGUCUGCCUGUUCCUUCCUUGACUGUGUUCCAGGAGCUCAGUCCUUUGAAAAAUGGCUCUAUACUCACAGCCACGUGUUCAGAGCACGUGGCUUCCUGCAAAGAGUCCUGCAACUUCUAGUUUGCUGAGGAUGCUGGGAAUUGUAGCUCUGCGGUGUGAAAACUACAGAUCCCAUGAUUCCUUGGGGGGAAGCUGUGCCUCUUAUAGAAACACGCUAUAAACAUACGGUUUAGAAAUGUCCAUUGAUGCGUUUGAUGUAGAAAAGUGGGGCCAGGGGUGGAGAGUGAAGUUGGGCAGUGGAGCCCAAACCUAUGGUCAGGUCCAUCCACGUUAGGAAUGGGGUAAGUUGAGGUCCUCCAUAUGUCAUUGGACUGCAGUUCCCCAUCAUCCCUGAACUUGGGGCACCCUGGCUGGUGGGAGUUGUAAAGCCAAGAGAACCACACGUAAAUCAAGCAACUCAGAAGCCAUAUUUGUGCUUCAACAAGAUGGCUUUAUCCUGCCCAACACAGAUUACCAGCCCUGCAGUCCAAGGCAGGCAAAUAAGGCAAUGCCAUUCCACUGACAGCAGGAGCCCAGCGUGGUCUUUUGGAUCAUGGCAGGCAAAAUGGGGGGUCUCCCCCGCCCCCACGGCAUCCACCACUGGGAGCUUCUGAUAUCCUGAUUUCUCUCCCUCUGUUGAGACGUGCAACCUUCAAAAAGCUCCCCACCCAUUCAGUGUCGUACCUGGGCAGUCACAUGGGGAAGGAUCUGAUGCAGCUGAGUUGCCCACCCUGUAGAAAGUACAGUGCAAGAGCCAAUAUAGAGCCCCUACUCAGGGGGAAGUGAGUCAUACUUAGCCCCCAUUGAAAUCAAUGUGUCAGCAUUAGUUGCGGCGAAAGGCAAAUCCUUUUUAUUCGGUCAAUAAUCUGCCUUGGAUUGGGGCCGUAUUCACUAAAGGCUCUAGAAAACCCAGCAAUUGUGCUUUCAUUUCACGUUUUGGAGGAGGAGGUGGGGAGAACUGCUCUGCCAUGGCAAACCAGUCCACAACUAAUAAAAGGAAUAAAAUGAAUCAAAACCUCAUUCCGCAGAUGCAGUCUGAUUAAUUGCAUAUCAAUGAUUGGAGUGGCAUAGCAAAAUGAUACCCCUUUCUGAAAUUAAGAUAAAAUAAAGCUGCUGUUGUAUUGCUACACUAAGUUAUAUAGAUGUACAGUAUAUGAUUCCCCCCCCCCUUCGGUCUUUUUUUAAAAUUGGUAUUAUUCAGCUCUUUGGAUGGUACCCAAAAGGAGAGGCGAUGCAGCUUUAAAAGGGCUGCUUCAGGAGGAGAGAGAGAUCUUUUAACAUCUUGGCUGCCUCCAAAGUGGUUUUGUGGUUGACUCGACUGUGAUCUAAGGUCUUGUUUUACUUUGCGGUGUGUGCUGUUGCCGAUUUUAUAAAAAAAAAACCCUUUUGAGAGAGAGUGAGAGUGGUCCUGUUUUUAAUUCCCAGUGUCUGUUUGCUCUCGCAGUGGUGUACAAACUCGUUUUAUUGAUCCCUGUGAAAUUUCCUGAUCUUCAAUAAAGCCUCUUGUUUUCUUUUUAUUUUCUUUUACUUCCGAAAAAAAGGUUAUUUGAAGCUUAAUAAAAAUAAAAACGAACCUUCA